Molecule: ribosomal RNA, 1379 nt
Filed under: Triticum aestivum (bread wheat)
Lineage: Eukaryota; Viridiplantae; Streptophyta; Magnoliopsida; Poales; Poaceae
Description: partial small subunit ribosomal RNA
Source: RNAcentral
GCACCAACGGCGAUUGACGAGCGAGAGGCGUCCACCGUCCUCUCUGGGUCUGGCUGGGAUGGCACCCGAUUCCCCAACAUAAAAUUCCGGGUGACAGCGCGUGGACAGGAACCAAUCCCCUUCUCAACCCCGAACCCAAGCGGCCAACCAAACGCGCAUAAAAGCAGCCCCCCGAUCUCCUCCAACGGCAGCAGAGAACGCGUCGCACUCGCAAGAAACAGAGCCCAGCAAGGAAAGCAAAACCAACCCCGGCGAGAGAAGGAACCCCCGACAUCCGGCGAUGGCUUCGCAGGCGAUCGAGGAGCACCGGUCGGGCGCGGAGGUGCACACGGAGCUGUGCGAGGCCAGGGCCCGCGAGUUCCUCGUCGAGCUGGGCCUCCCCGACGGGCUCCUCCCGCUGCCGUCCCUCGUGGAGGUGGGCUACAACCGCGCCACCGGCUUCGUGUGGCUCCGCCAGGGCCAGUCCGGCGGCCUCACCCACACCUUCGACGCCAUCGGCAAGCAGGUCUGGUACGCGCCCGAGGUGACGGCCGUGGUGGAGCGCGGCCGGAUGCACAGCAUGACCGGGGUCAAGAGCAAGGAGCUGCUCAUCUGGGUCACCAUCUCCGAGAUCGUCAUCAGCCCCUCCGGCUCCAAGAUCGUCUUCCGCACCCCCGCCGGCCUCGGCCGCGCCUUCCCCGUCUCCGCCUUCCAGCUCAACCCGCCGGCGCCCGAGGCCGAGGCCAAGGCCGCCGAGGAGGCCGCCGCCAACUGAUCGAUCUGCUCGCGAGUCAAGUCAGCGGCAUUUUUAGGAGUGGAUUUGAUGAUGUGGCACGGUGUGGCAGGGAUUUUGACUUUUGACCAAAUAAAUGAGUGCUAUGUCAGCACUCAACACGGGUGUCGUUUUCUUCCCCGCGAGCAGUGGCUUGGCCUUUGCCGCUGAUGAGGUCUCCUAUUACAGGUAUGGUCAAGGACCUAUCAUUUGGGACCCGCAUGGGGCCCAUAACCAACGUGUGUAGGUCCCUGGAUCAUACCAGUAUUCGGACGCAUACAUCAGGAAGUCCACUCGGUCGACUCGACUGCACUCGGAGAACCACCCGCCACUCGGCAGACGAAUCGCCACUCGGACCAAGAAAUCAAGCAGGCGGCGUGGGAGCUGCAACAGUCGAGGAAUCCUAAGUCAUCCAUUAAAACAGAGUCGUGGCUACCAUUACCUGUAACUGCCGUAGUAGAGGCUCGCUCUACCUGUAACUUACGUAUUCAGUGUCAUUUAAUGCCCAAACGGCGUGGAUGACAUGGGGUUGCGGUGCACUCUAUAUAAGCCGCAUCCCCUACAUAAUCAGGCAUGAGCAACCUUUGUAACCAUACCCAUAAAAUCAAAGCAAACCUCAGGGCACGAG